CCUACGGGUGGCAGCAGUGGGGAAUCUUGCGCAAUGCGCGAAAGCGUGACGCAGCAACGCCGCGUGGGGGAAGACGGCUUUCGGGUUGUAAACCCCUUUCAGUUGGGACGAAGCCUCGUCCGUUAACAGCGGUGCGAGGUGACGGUACCUUCACAAGAAGCCCCGGCUAACUACGUGCCAGCAGCCGCGGUAAUACGUAGGGGGCAAGCGUUGUCCGGAAUCAUUGGGCGUAAAGAGCGCGUAGGCGGUCCGGUAAGUCCGCUGUAAAAGUCAAGGGCUCAACCCUUGAAAGCCGGUGGAUACUGUCGGGCUAGAGUCCGGAAGAGGCGAGUGGAAUUCCUGGUGUAGCGGUGAAAUGCGCAGAUAUCAGGAGGAACACCUAUGGCGAAGGCAGCUCGCUGGGACGGUACUGACGCUGAGGCGCGAAAGCGUGGGGAGCG
RNAcentral lists this ribosomal RNA (440 nucleotides) under uncultured bacterium. Its description in RNAcentral is "bacterial SSU rRNA". It matches the Rfam family "Bacterial small subunit ribosomal RNA", at positions 338 to 770 of the family's 1533-position model. The record is from RNAcentral.